This 466-nucleotide ribosomal RNA is filed under the name uncultured bacterium. RNAcentral's name for it is "partial 16S ribosomal RNA". It matches the Rfam family "Bacterial small subunit ribosomal RNA", at positions 28 to 507 of the family's 1533-position model. The record is from RNAcentral.
GAUGAACGCUGGCGGCGUGCUUAACACAUGCAAGUCGAACGGAAAGGCUCCUGCUUGCAGGGGUACUCGAGUGGCGAACGGGUGAGUAACACGUGGGUGAUCUGCCCUGCACUUCGGGAUAAGCCUGGGAAACUGGGUCUAAUACCGGAUAGGACGAUGGUUUGGAUACCAUUGUGGAAAGUUUUUUCGGUGUGGGAUGAGCUCGCGGCCUAUCAGCUUGUUGGUGGGGUAAUGGCCUACCAAGGCGUCGACGGGUAGCCGGCCUGAGAGGGUGUACGGCCACAUUGGGACUGAGAUACGGCCCAGACUCCUACGGGAGGCAGCAGUGGGGAAUAUUGCACAAUGGGCGCAAGCCUGAUGCAGCGACGCCGUGUGGGGGAUGACGGCCUUCGGGUUGUAAACUCCUUUCGCUAGGGACGAAGCGCAAGUGACGGUACCUGGAGAAGAAGCACCGGCUAACUACGUG